This 590-nucleotide ribosomal RNA is filed under the name uncultured Polaribacter sp. RNAcentral describes it as "bacterial SSU rRNA". It matches the Rfam family "Bacterial small subunit ribosomal RNA", at positions 74 to 662 of the family's 1533-position model. The record is from RNAcentral. Lineage: Bacteria; Pseudomonadati; Bacteroidota; Flavobacteriia; Flavobacteriales; Flavobacteriaceae.
UUGUGCUUGCACAGAUGACGACCGGCGCACGGGUGCGUAACGCGUAUAGAACCUACCUUUUACAGAGGAAUAGCCUUUAGAAAUGAAGAUUAAUGCCUCAUAGUAUUGUAGACUGGCAUCAGUUUAUAAUUAAAGAUUUAUCGGUAAAAGAUGGCUAUGCGUCCUAUUAGUUAGUUGGUAAGGUAACGGCUUACCAAGACAGCGAUAGGUAGGGGUCCUGAGAGGGAGAUCCCCCACACUGGUACUGAGACACGGACCAGACUCCUACGGGAGGCAGCAGUGAGGAAUAUUGGACAAUGGAGGAGACUCUGAUCCAGCCAUGCCGCGUGUAGGAAGAAUGCCCUAUGGGUUGUAAACUACUUUUAUACAGGAAGAAACACUGGUAUGUAUACCAGCUUGACGGUACUGUAAGAAUAAGGACCGGCUAACUCCGUGCCAGCAGCCGCGGUAAUACGGAGGGUCCGAGCGUUAUCCGGAAUCAUUGGGUUUAAAGGGUCCGCAGGCGGUCGAUUAAGUCAGAGGUGAAAUCCCAUAGCUCAACUAUGGAACUGCCUUUGAUACUGGUUGACUUGAGUCAUAUGGAAGUAGAU